ACGGCUCAGUAACACGUGGACAACCUACCCUCAGCACGGGGAUAAACCCGGGAAACUGGGUAUGAUACCCGAUAGUUCUGGUUAGCUGGAAUGCUUCCAGGACGAAAGCUCCGGCGACUGAGGAUGGGUCUGCGGCCUAUCAGGUAGUAGUGGGUGUAAUGUACCUACUAGCCUACGACGGGUACGGGUCGUGAGAGCGAGAGCCCGGAGAUGGAUUCUGAGACACGAAUCCAGGCCCUACGGGGUGCAGCAGGCGCGAAAACUUUACAAUGCUGGCAACAGCGAUAAGGGGACCUCGAGUGCCAGGAUACAAUCUUGGCUGUCGUAAUGCCUAAAAAGCAUUGCAUAGCAAGGGCCGGGCAAGACCGGUGCCAGCCGCCGCGGUAACACCGGCGGCUCGAGUGGUAACCGCUAUUAUUGGGUCUAAAGGGUCUGUAGCCGGCCGGAUAAGUCUUUUGGGCAAUCCAGCAGCUCAACUGUUGGGCUUUCAGAAGAUACUGUUCGGCUCGAGACCGGGAGAGGUGAGAGGUACUUCAGGGGUAGGGGUGAAAUCUUGUAAUCCUUGAAGGACCACCAGUGGCGAAGGCGUCUCACCAGAACGGAUCUGACGGCAAGGGACGAAAGCUAGGGGCACGAACCGGAUUAGAUACCCGGGUAGUCCUAGCCGUAAACGAUGCUCGCUAGGUGUCGGCCACGGUGCGACCGUGGUCGGUGCCGUAGGGAAGCCGUGAAGCGAGCCACCUGGGAAGUACGGCCGCAAGGCUGAAACUUAAAGGAAUUGGCGGGGGAGCAC
This 793-nucleotide ribosomal RNA is filed under the name uncultured archaeon. RNAcentral's name for it is "bacterial SSU rRNA". It matches the Rfam family "Archaeal small subunit ribosomal RNA", at positions 85 to 879 of the family's 1478-position model. The record is from RNAcentral.